RNAcentral lists this non-coding RNA (47 nucleotides) under Trichobilharzia regenti. Lineage: Eukaryota; Metazoa; Platyhelminthes; Trematoda; Strigeidida; Schistosomatidae. The record is from RNAcentral.
CUGCAGCUGAAGAGUCCAAAAACUAGGACGAAACAGCUGUCCAGCAC